RNAcentral lists this ribosomal RNA (486 nucleotides) under uncultured bacterium. RNAcentral's name for it is "partial 16S ribosomal RNA". It matches the Rfam family "Bacterial small subunit ribosomal RNA", at positions 30 to 507 of the family's 1533-position model. The record is from RNAcentral.
AUUGAACGCUGGCGGCAUGCCUUACACAUGCAAGUCGAACGGCAGCACGGGUGCUUGCACCUGGUGGCGAGUGGCGAACGGGUGAGUAAUACAUCGGAACAUGUCCUGUAGUGGGGGGUAGCCCGGCGAAAGCCGGAUUAAUACCGCAUACGAUCCACGGAUGAAAGCGGGGGACCUUCGGGCCUCGCGCUAUAGGGUUGGCCGAUGGCUGAUUAGCUAGUUGGUGGGGUAAAGGCCUACCAAGGCGACGAUCAGUAGCUGGUCUGAGAGGACGACCAGCCACACUGGGACUGAGACACGGCCCAGACUCCUACGGGAGGCAGCAGUGUGGAAUUUUGGACAAUGGGCGAAAGCCUGAUCCAGCAAUGCCGCGUGUGUGAAGAAGGCCUUCGGGUUGUAAAGCACUUUUGUCCGGAAAGAAAUCCUUGACUCUAAUACAGUCGGGGGAUGACGGUACCGGAAGAAUAAGCACCGGCUAACUACGUG